CUGGAGAGGAUCAAACAGGAUCGGACAUAAUCAGGGAGGACCAGACAGGAUCAGACAGGACCAGACAGGACCAGCGAAGAUCAGACAGGACCAGGGAGGAUCAGACAGGACCAGGGAGGAUCAGACAGGAUCAGACAGGGUCAGACAUGACCAGAAAGGGUCAGACAUGACCAGAGAGGAUCAGGGAGGACUAGGGAAUAUCAGACAGGACCGGACAGGACCAGAGAGGAUCAGACAGGACCAGGGAGGAUCAGACAGGACCGGACAGGAUCAGGGAGGACUAGGGAAUAUCAGACAGGACCGGACAGGACCAGCGAGGAUCAGACAGGACCAGGGAGGAUCAGACAGGAUCAGACAGGGUCAGACAGGACCAGGGAGGAUCAGACAGGACCGGACAGGAUCAGGGAGGACUAGGGAAUAUCAGACAGGACCGGACAGGACCAGCGAGGAUCAGACAGGACCAGGGAGGAUCAGACAGGAUCAGACAGGGUCAGACAUGACCAGAGAGGAUCAGACAAGACCAGACAAGACAAAAUAAGGCUCUUGGAUGAAGGAAAACAGUAGGAACUGUUUUUUGUCCUUGGGGAUAGAAGAAACACAGGGGUCGUCAUCAUCAAAGUACGUAUGCAGAGUGAUACGGAUGCAGGAAGGGUAAUAUGGAGGAUGACAGAGAAUGCUCAGAACUUCUUUCCAGUAAUUCUCUCUAAUGGGACAAAACCAAUACCUCAUGGAGAUGAGUGUUGGGGAGGUCCGUUUGGCAGAAUUGACACAGAGGAAAGCCCAGGAAGUUCCAGAUCAGGGUGACCAAUACAGCCUACCUGUUGACGGUGAAGAAUGGAUCAAGCAGAAGGUCCACAAAAGGAAGUGGAAGCACCCCAGAUGGAUAGGUUCCUACCAGGCCAUCGCAGAAACACCUAGAGCGGUGAAGGUCUAGGAGCAUCAGGGGUGGCACCACCUAUUGCACUACCAGAAGACGUCACAACCACCAUAACAGAUAAGAGUGCACACCAAGACCGUUAUUUCUAUCCUCAAUCUCCUGAGGAUUGCUUACAGUCUAAAGCACAUUUUAUGGAUGAUUCUUAUAAUCACUAUGCUUGAGUUACUUUGCAUUUGUUGAGGCCUGGUGGCCUCAAAGGAGGGAAUGACUGGGAUAAACAAAGGCCUCAUACCUUUUAAAGGGUUAAUAAAUUGUGUGAUGACAAACUGUAGGGUCUUCUCUUAGGAGACCUCUGUGUGUGUGUUAACACCUGUUUUGAGUGUUGUGCCCUUCAGACAAUAUCAGAAGGCGGAAACCACCUACGCUCAUACUCCUCCUGUCUGGGCCCCACCAUGGCUGUCUGAGGUUCUGAGAAGACGACUGGUUUUCUGAGAACACAAGGCCACUGCAGGCCUGAUGGAAACCGCCUACGCUCACACUCCUCCUGUCUGGGCCCCACCAUGGAUGUCUGACGCUCUGAGAACACAAGGCCACUGCAGGCCUGAUGGAAACUGCCUACGCUCACACUCCUCCUGUCUGGGCCCCACCAUGGAUGUCUGAGGCUCUGAGAACACAAGGCCACUGCAGGCCUGAUGGAAACUGCCUACGCUCAUACUCCUCCUGUCUGGGCCCCACCAUGGAUGUCUGAGGCUCUGAGAACACAAGGCCACUGCAGGCCUGAUGGAAACUGCCUACGCUCACACUCCUCCUGUCUGGGC
Long non-coding RNA from Oncorhynchus tshawytscha (Chinook salmon), 1695 nucleotides. NCBI's taxonomy places the organism in Eukaryota, Metazoa, Chordata, Actinopteri, Salmoniformes, Salmonidae. The record is from Ensembl.